This 984-nucleotide long non-coding RNA is filed under the name Marmota monax (woodchuck). The record is from RNAcentral. Lineage: Eukaryota; Metazoa; Chordata; Mammalia; Rodentia; Sciuridae.
CAGUUCACCUUGGCCUAGCCCAGAGUCCCUCUAUGUCUCGGCCCAUGGUACCCUUUGUUAAACCUUCAAAUCUCAUAAGUCUCUCCUGGGGUCCUCCCACUACCCAUGCUCUAUACCUACAUGGGGUAUUUCAAAUACAUAUGGGUCACAAAAGUACAAGAAGGGCCCUUCUCACUGAAAUUCCACUCUGGAGAGAGAGGUGGAAGCCAGUGGGUUUCGUGGACUGGCCAUGGGAGCAGGGUGGGGGCUGCUCUUCCACUCCCCUCUCUCCCCUCUAUGGCUUUGUCCUUAAAUGCUCUCUGCCCUUUCCCAUCCAGUCCUUUUCCCUCAUCUUCCUCUGCCCAGCACUCCUCCUCCACAGAUCCAUUUCCAUCUCUCCAUUCACACCAGAACAAAAUAGGAAUUCUUUUUUUUUAAAAUAAUAAAGUUUUAUUUUAAAAUUUCACAUAAAAUGUCAAGAUAAAUUAUUAUAAAAGUGGGACCAAAGCCACAAACAGAAAUUCUAUUAAGCUAGUCUUCUAUUAAUUACAAGAAAAAAUACUUUUAUGAAACAUAGCUUUUACUGAUUGAGAAAUACCUUAAUCUUAAACUGAGAGCAAAAACAUUGUUAUCAUAUAAAGAAUGUUGCAUUUUUAAGAAAUCCUAGUGUUCAGUAUGGCACCCUGUGCACUUGAUACUUUGCCAAUAGGUCUGAUAGAACAAUUUCUAAUAUCCUCAGUUGGAAGAAAAACUGGUUAACAAAAAUAAACUAAGGGCAUUGAUCUAGAAUAUAACAAAAACAAUAUGAAAAAGGGACCAAAAAAAGAAAAAAAUGGAAACACAGCUACCUUAACAGAGAUGUCACAAAAACUGCCAAAAGUACCUUACUGCUUAUCUUUAAUCCAAAACUGUUUCUUCAAAGGAGUUGAAGAAACCUGGUUAGGAGCUAUCUUAUUUAUCUAAUCAUUGUGAAGCUUUCCUCCACUUUCCAAAUUUAGAAAUUGU